RNAcentral lists this ribosomal RNA (497 nucleotides) under uncultured bacterium. RNAcentral describes it as "partial 16S ribosomal RNA". It matches the Rfam family "Bacterial small subunit ribosomal RNA", at positions 38 to 507 of the family's 1533-position model. The record is from RNAcentral.
GGGGGGGGGGGGGGGGGGGCGGGGGGGAGGGAGGGCGGGCGAGGGGACGAGAAGCUUGGGUCACUGGUGUUAGCGGGGGACGGGUGCGUAAAACGGGGCGAACCUCCCUAUAAGACGGGGAGAAGUUCUGGCAACCGGAGCUAAGACCGGAUCAUAUGUUAAACCGGAUGGUGCAAAAGUAAAAGCAGGUAUUGCUGGCCCUACACGAUGGAGCCGCGCUGCAUUAACUAGUUGGUAAGGUAACGGCUUACCAAGGCAACGAUGCAAAGCCGACCUGAGAGGGUGAUCGCCCACACUGGAACUGAGACACGGUCCAGACUCCUACGGGAGGCAGCAGUAGGGAAUCUUCCGCAAUGGGCGAAAGCCUGACGGAGCAACGCCGCGUGAGUGAUGAAGGUCUUCGGAUCGUAAAACUCUGUUAUUAGGGAAGAACAUAUGUGUAAGUAACUGUGCACAUCUUGACGGUACCUAAUCAGAAAGCCACGGCUAACUACGUG